Molecule: ribosomal RNA, 253 nt
Filed under: uncultured bacterium
Lineage: Bacteria
Description: partial 16S ribosomal RNA
Rfam family: Bacterial small subunit ribosomal RNA
Source: RNAcentral
UACGUAGGGGGCAAGCGUUGUCCGGAAUCAUUGGGCGUAAAGAGCGUGUAGGCGGUCCGGUAAGUCGGCUGUGAAAGUCGGGGGCUCAACCCUCGAAUGCCGGUGGAUACUGUCGGGCUAGAGUGCGGAAGAGGCGAGUGGAAUUCCUGGUGUAGCGGUGAAAUGCGCAGAUAUCAGGAGGAACACCUAUUGCGAAGGCAGCUCGCUGGGACGUAACUGACGCUGAGACGCGAAAGCGUGGGGAGCAAACAGG